This 253-nucleotide ribosomal RNA is filed under the name uncultured bacterium. RNAcentral's name for it is "partial 16S ribosomal RNA". It matches the Rfam family "Bacterial small subunit ribosomal RNA", at positions 524 to 776 of the family's 1533-position model. The record is from RNAcentral.
UACGUAGGGUGCAAGCGUUGUCCGGAAUUAUUGGGCGUAGAGAGCUUGUAGGCGGUUUGUCGCGUCUGCUGUGAAAUUUCGGGGCUCAACCCCGAACUUGCAGUGGGUACGGGCAGACUAGAGUGUGGUAGGGGAGACUGGAAUUCCUGGUGUAGCGGUGAAAUGCGCGGAUAUCAGGAGGAACACCGAUGGCGAAGGCAGGUCUCUGGGCCACUACUGACGCUGAGAAGCGAAAGCAUGGGGAGCGAACAGG